RNAcentral lists this long non-coding RNA (487 nucleotides) under Homo sapiens (human). RNAcentral's name for it is "HSALNT0290264". The record is from RNAcentral. Lineage: Eukaryota; Metazoa; Chordata; Mammalia; Primates; Hominidae.
GCGGCCGCGGGCGACUCCUGGUACCCCCGAGGCCCCGCGAACUCACCUUCACAAAGCUGUCGGCGUCCGGGAAGCCUGGCAGCACCAUCUCUCCGUCGGAUUUGGUUGCGCUGGUCGCCGACAGGACCCUGGGCUCCCGGGUACUGGGUGGCGCCAUUUUUUCAGCCUGCACGGCUCGUCUCGCGAGAGCUUGUCGGCCGAGGAGACGGGACGCGUGCGCACCACGCAUGCGCCAGGUAAGCUCCUGAAGAAAGCGUCUAGCUCCAACUGUGCUUCCUCCCUCCAGUACCCUCUGAACUCCUCCAAGCAGACGUUGUUUCCUGCAGACAUCGCUGGAACCAUUCUGGUUAACACAGAGUGGGAACUCAGUACACAUUUGUGAAGUGAACUCCUGGAAGAGCUCUUGUGAGGGAGGCACCGAAUUAUCAGGCAGCUCAAGAGAUAGAUUCACUCUCCUGAAAUUAGAGAUGGGAUGCCCUUAAUACAA